UCUCGCUCGCUGAUGAAAAGGAAGUGACCGAAAGCAAUUUGAUUCAGCUUGAAUACAAAUAAUACGUCAGUAUAUUUUCGGCAUAUUUUGAAAUUUGUGACGUAGUUUCGGUAUAUUUCUGAGUGUCUGUUUACCAUUGCACGUAUGAAAAUAAAAGUGAAUAAUAAAAAAUAUUAAAGAAAGGAGAGGAGAACUACACACAACGCGCAAUCAAAUAUAUGAGUUAUUGUUUAUACAGUCAAGGAAAAAAGUCAACAUACAGCACCGAUUUUUCAAUAUUUCGGGUUUUCGCAAUGAAAAUUAAAAAAGUUGGUAUGCCAUUAUUUAGGACACUUAAAGUUAUUAUUAUUUCAGAAA
Molecule: long non-coding RNA, 357 nt
Organism: Drosophila miranda
Lineage: Eukaryota; Metazoa; Arthropoda; Insecta; Diptera; Drosophilidae
Exons: 2
Source: RefSeq, a predicted model, not a curated record